GGCACGUUAGACCCGCCUCGCGAGAGGGAACCCGGUGAGAGUCCGGGACUGUCCCGCAGCGGUAUGCAGGAACGACCGCCGUCACAAGCACUGGUCUUGAGGGAUCUAAGACUGGGAAGCGACGGCCAGUAGGAGCACGGGAGUGCGCGCCUGCGAGUCCGAAGACCUGCC
Molecule: non-coding RNA, 171 nt
Filed under: Mycobacterium sp.
Lineage: Bacteria; Bacillati; Actinomycetota; Actinomycetes; Mycobacteriales; Mycobacteriaceae
Source: RNAcentral